GCAGGCUGAUCCCUUCGGGGUGAUGCCUGUGGAAUGAGCGGCGGACGGGUGAGUAACACGUGGGCAACCUGCCUUACAGACUGGGAUAACUCCGGGAAACCGGGGCUAAUACCGGAUGACCAACGGAGUCACAUGACUCUGUUGUAAAAGUUGGGAUUUAUCCUAACACUGUGAGAUGGGCCCGCGGCGCAUUAGCUAGUUGGUGAGGUAAUGGCUCACCAAGGCGACGAUGCGUAGCCGACCUGAGAGGGUGAUCGGCCACACUGGAACUGAGACACGGUCCAGACUCCUACGGGAGGCAGCAGUAGGGAAUCAUCCGCAAUGGGCGAAAGCCUGACGGUGCAACGCCGCGUGAACGAUGAAGGUCUUCGGAUUGUAAAGUUCUGUUGUCAGGGAAGAACACGUGCCGUUCGAACAGGGCGGCACCUUGACGGUACCUGACCAGAAAGCCCCGGCUAACUACGUGCCAGCAGCCGCGGUAAUACGUAGGGGGCAAGCGUUGUCCGGAAUUAUUGGGCGUAAAGCGCGCGCAGGCGGUCUCUUAAGUCUGAUGUGAAAGCCCACGGCUCAACCGUGGAGGGUCAUUGGAAACUGGGGGACUUGAGUGUAGGAGAGGAAAGUGGAAUUCCACGUGUAGCGGUGAAAUGCGUAGAUAUGUGGAGGAACACCAGUGG
The sequence is a ribosomal RNA, 674 nucleotides long. It matches the Rfam family "Bacterial small subunit ribosomal RNA", at positions 57 to 715 of the family's 1533-position model.